GCUAAGUCUGGGCCAGCAGCCGGGGUAAUACAGAUGGUGCGAGCGGUAAUCGGAUUUACUGGGCGUAAAGCGUGCGUAGGCGGCUUUUUAAGUCGGAUGUGAAAUCCCUGAGCUUAACUUAGGAAUUGCAUUCGAUACUGGGAAGCUAGAGUAUGGGAGAGGAUGGUAGAAUUCCAGGUGUAGCGGUGAAAUGCGUAGAGAUCUGGAGGAAUACCGAUGGCGAAGGCAGCCAUCUGGCCUAAUACUGACGCUGAGGUACGAAAGCAUGGGGAGCAAACAGGAUUAGAUACCCUAGUAGUC
RNAcentral lists this ribosomal RNA (300 nucleotides) under uncultured Lactobacillus sp. RNAcentral's name for it is "bacterial SSU rRNA". It matches the Rfam family "Bacterial small subunit ribosomal RNA", at positions 496 to 795 of the family's 1533-position model. The record is from RNAcentral. Lineage: Bacteria; Bacillati; Bacillota; Bacilli; Lactobacillales; Lactobacillaceae.